Molecule: ribosomal RNA, 1053 nt
Filed under: Fusarium acuminatum
Lineage: Eukaryota; Fungi; Ascomycota; Sordariomycetes; Hypocreales; Nectriaceae
Description: eukaryotic LSU rRNA
Rfam family: Eukaryotic large subunit ribosomal RNA (bases 465-1053)
Source: RNAcentral
UUACCGAGUUUACAACUCCCAAACCCCUGUGAACAUACCUUUAUGUUGCCUCGGCGGAUCAGCCCGCGCCCCGUAAAACGGGACGGCCCGCCGCAGGAAACCCUAAACUCUGUUUUUAGUGGAACUUCUGAGUAUAAAAAACAAAUAAAUCAAAACUUUCAACAACGGAUCUCUUGGUUCUGGCAUCGAUGAAGAACGCAGCAAAAUGCGAUAAGUAAUGUGAAUUGCAGAAUUCAGUGAAUCAUCGAAUCUUUGAACGCACAUUGCGCCCGCCAGUAUUCUGGCGGGCAUGCCUGUUCGAGCGUCAUUUCAACCCUCAAGCCCAGCUUGGUGUUGGGAUCUGUUUGUCACAAAACAGUCCUCAAAUUGAUUGGCGGUCACGUCGAGCUUCCAUAGCGUAGUAAUUUACACAUCGUUACUGGUAAUCGUCGCGGCCACGCCGUUAAACCCCAACUUCUGAAUGUUGACCUCGGAUCAGGUAGGAAUACCCGCUGAACUUAAGCAUAUCAAUAAGCGGAGGAAAAGAAACCAACAGGGAUUGCCCUAGUAACGGCGAGUGAAGCGGCAACAGCUCAAAUUUGAAAUCUGGCUUUCGGGCCCGAGUUGUAAUUUGUAGAGGAUGACUUUGAUGCGGUGCCUUCCGAGUUCCCUGGAACGGGACGCCAUAGAGGGUGAGAGCCCCGUCUGGUUGGAUGCCAAAUCUCUGUAAGUCUCCUUCGACGAGUCGAGUAGUUUGGGAAUGCUGCUCUAAAUGGGAGGUAUAUGUCUUCUAAAGCUAAAUACCGGCCAGAGACCGAUAGCGCACAAGUAGAGUGAUCGAAAGAUGAAAAGCACUUUGAAAAGAGAGUUAAAAAGUACGUGAAAUUGUUGAAAGGGAAGCGUUUAUGACCAGACUUGGGCUUGGUUAAUCAUCUGGGGUUCUCCCCAGUGCACUUUUCCAGUCCAGGCCAGCAUCAGUUUUCGCCGGGGGAUAAAGGCUUCGGGAAUGUGGCUCCCCUCGGGGAGUGUUAUAGCCCGUUGUGUAAUACCCUGGCGGGGACUGAGGUUCGCGCU